CGGAAAAUGGGCGGUAAAUGAAAUACACAGGCGCCAAAUGAAACACAAAAGCAAUCUCUAAGGCGUGUAACAAGGUGAUGGGGCCUGCGGCUUGGGUCGUGUGACAGGGAGGCUCGACUCUUGGGUCUACGGCGUGGCUGUCUUCCUCCGUCUCAUCUACCACAACUUCCCUCCCCAUGUUUCGCCGACUCCGACGGAGAUUGACUUGCAGAGCAAUGGUCCAGCAGGCUGUACAGGGAGGAGCUCCAGCUGCUUACGCCCAAGAAAUGGAGAGGCUAACCGCUAAAGAAUCCCUUCUUCUUGCUUUUAAGGAUUCUGGGGGGUUUU
Long non-coding RNA from Humulus lupulus (European hop), 327 nucleotides. RefSeq lists it as uncharacterized. NCBI's taxonomy places the organism in Eukaryota, Viridiplantae, Streptophyta, Magnoliopsida, Rosales, Cannabaceae. The transcript is spliced from 3 exons. The record is from RefSeq and is a predicted model, not a curated record.